This 1076-nucleotide non-coding RNA is filed under the name Meretrix lyrata. The record is from RNAcentral. Lineage: Eukaryota; Metazoa; Mollusca; Bivalvia; Venerida; Veneridae.
AUUUAAGUAAUUUGGGAUAAAUUAUUUUUUUGUGAUUCGGUUAAAGUGAAAAGUAGUGUAAUAGAAUUGUGUGGGCUUUCAGCACUAUAUUAGUUAUUUUAUACAUUGGUCUUGCAUGAAAUUGGAAGAGUUCCUGAGAGGAAAGAAGUUGGUGGAAGAGGUUUUUAAAAUAUUUUCUUUUGGCUGGCUGUCCACCUGUUAGUUUAUGAUUUAAUAUUUUGUGAAAUUUUGUAAUUGUUACUUUGAUGGGUAAUUGGUGUUUCUCAACAUCAGCAGUUAAAAUUUUUUCUAUUAUAGAGAUAUAGAGUAAGUGAUUGUUUUUAGAAGGGAUUAAUAUUGUGCCAGCAUUCGCGGUUAAACAAUGUCUUCAAGCUAAUAUGUUCGUAGAGCAGUAAAGUUAGGAAUAAGUAUUAAAGUUAUAUUGAUAAAUUUAGCGGUGAAAUGUGUUAAAAUUUUGGUUGACAGUAGUAAAUUUUAUGUUUAUUAGUUGUUCAUUUUUUUGUGUUUAGAGUCUUUAAAAAUUUAAGCUGAGGAAGCUGUUAUUAAAAACAAGGAUUAGAUACCCUUUUAUUUAAGCUGAAGCUGAAAUCUACGGGUAUAACGGACGUAAUAAUAGGUCUGAUAACUUAUGAAAGCUGGCGGCAUUUAUUUAUUCUUUUAGGGGAGCUUGGCGUUUAAAUAGACGGUACCCUAGUAUUUUACCUUUAAUUUUCUUUUCAUAUCGCCGUUGUCAGUGGGUUUUGGAAAAUUUACUUGCGUGUAACAAAAAUUUAAGUUUGGUUUAGUUGUUUUGUUCGAAUUCAGGUAAACAUGAAGGUGUUUUAAAGGGAUUAGCUGAGCUACAUUUAUUAAAUAUGGCGGAUGAUCAAGUUUGUUGAUUUAUUUAACUUCCUUACGUUAGUUAAAAUUUUUGAUAAAUUUUUGGAAUAGUUUUCUUAAGGUGGACUUAAUAGUAAGAUUUUUUGUAGAUAGGGAAUUUGAAUUGAAUGUAAAAAUGUGUACAAAUCGCCCGUCGUCCUUUAGUUCAUAGAGGUAAGUCGUAACAUAGUAAUACUAGCAGAAGCUGGUGUUGAUUA